UACAAAUUGGAGGUCUGUUAUUGCCAACACAAGGAGAAAGGCAGUAGGUGUUACUCUGCAUGCCAUGUUCAGGUAAAUUUUUCUGGUAGCAGCAGCAGCAGCAGCAGCUCUGACCAUUGAACAGCCCUGCUAAAACUCCUGCCUUGGAGACUGCCUUCUUACCAAACGGUUAUUCUGCCUGCCCACUCCCUAACUAGGGGUUCUUCUCGUUGGGGUCGAGUGGAGAUUUAGAAAGUGUUGCGUCGUCGCGCUGCCCUCCUGACAGCCUGAAAAAAGCCUUUGCUCACCAACGCGCCUCGUCGAGUGGAUCAGAAAAUCGACUAAAGCGAGUGUCUUGCCUGCGUGCAAUCGCUUGGAGAAACAUGUAGAAAUGUGAUGCAGAAGAAAAGCAAGAAAGCGCUUGAGGGAGUAGCACGAUCGGUGGCAAUACCACGGGCCCGAUAGCCCUUCUAGCGGAUGAGCAUCGUUUUUUAAAUCGGCCACCAGUUGGAUUUUCGUAGAACCGAUCCUUGGAACGCCAUCUUCCCCAUCUCAGGCUUUGCGGGCUACAGGAGUAUCAAAGCUGCCGGCCUCGUUCGGCAGAUGCUCAUUUCAUCAUAUGUCUGUCGGCCGAUCGGUUGGGUGGUUCGCUGGCUCGGUAGUUGAUUCUUUGCUGUACUCAUCACAGGAAUGGCGGCCAUCAACAGGCAGAGAAAAGGUAACUCACCAGCUGUUUUAACUACUAUGCGCCUGCUAAGGUGGUUCAUUGUUCGGUGCCGAAGAAGCACCGAUGCUCUGCUACGACGAUGAGGCUGUCUUUAAUGGUCGAAUCAGAAUAAACCUAUGUUCUCAUGUGAAGGCAUCUUGUUGGUCGAAACAAAAUCUAAAGUAAAGCAAAGGUUCAGAAGAAGUCUCGCAAAUCGGCUUCCUACGAUGUCGUAGGUGUGUAGGCUCCUUCUUCGGCACAGAUAUCAGAGGGGGCGGAGGUUGAGUAUCCAGUAGUCUGUACUCUACGGUAACAACUAUCAAAGACGGGAGGGAAGUAGCGAGAAAGCUAUAGGCCGCUGUAUCAGACCGGGCCCGAACCACAGGCGGCAGGUCCGCACUGUAGUUCGUGGAAAAACAGGAGGGGCGUCUUUAAAUUGGCGGCCGCAGGCAAAUCCGGAGAGUUGAAGGUAUCUGCGUAGCUCUUUUAAGACAGUCACUGUGAAUUCCUGAGUGGCUUUUGCUCCUGGCUGUUGAAAGGCUGGAGGGAAACCGCCAAAGUACGAGAACAAAUCCUGCUUGUUCCCGCUUCCCAUCAGCAAUACCCAAGCACCUGUGAGCUUAGCGGAAACUAUAGUCGCGAAUCUCAGUCGUAUCGAUUACCUCGUCGAGAGAACUAACCCAAAAAAAAAAGAAAGACUACACCAUUGCGAAAAGAAGACUGGCUAGGAUCAUCGUAUUUCGAUCCGCGGAUGUUGAAAGUGGGCGGUUACCUAAUGGAAUUUGAGGUAGUGAGAGGUUAAUGGCAGUUUCACGGGAUGUUGAUUUUCAUUGUUGCGCAUAGCCGCGUUUCAACAAGCGAUUCCCCGUAGCGUUUAGUUUUUGCCUGUCGACCGUUCGUGUGUAAUUAUUCAAGGAGCAGCGGCAGUCUUCAUACCUUUUUUUUGAUUUUUUAUAGUCCCAAUUCCAAACCCUUUGGAGGGUUACUAAGAUCCAGGGCGGUCGGAGGGGACAUCGGUCAUUCAAGUAGUUGUCUUUACCAGCCACAGCAUGCUAGCCGGUUUCAGCCUGUCCCUUGAGAGGCUUCGACGACCUAUCGUCGUAGUACAAUGUUGAAUCGUAUGCAUGACAAGACAUUUGUUUGCGCCUCGUAGUUCGAAUGACGAGCUUGCAGAGACUGGAUGUUGAUCGCGAAAUUAGGGCAGAUUAUACACGUUGCAUGUGUUCAGUACGAUUGUCUUCAUCUUAAACUGGCGGCACAUAAUUUUCCUUUGUUGUUUUGCUUUCAACCAGCAAGUGUGAUAUAAAACCCAGCGCGAACGAAGCUAACAGAUAUGCAAUUUAUAAUUACUCGAUAGAUUUAAAAAAAAAAUUGGCGUUUUACCUGUUCUACCGAUUUUCUGACGUGGUAGAGGAGCUAAUACCGCUGGCCUUAACCAGGAAAUAUCACCGGGAUAUAGUGAUCCAGGGACAUGCACACGCAUGCCCAAUGAUAAUUGAUUAGGCCAGAAGUGUUUAAAGGAACUCAUGUGACGAGCGGCAUCCUUCUAAGUUGAGGCUACCAGCGGUAAUGGAGUGCAUGGAAAAAUAACAAGUAUAUUGUGAGUACAAAUGCAUAUCAAUGUAAUGUCACGAAGAACUGAAAAAGUUUCAUUUUAUACUACUUCCCGUUCAAGUGUAACAUCGAUUCACUUCAUUAAUUCUAUACCGAAUAAGACGGUCUGCCAAGACCGCUAUAGGUACACCGCAUAUGGGCUGUUGUCUUCUUGAGACAAUGCUUUUUGCAAUGCAUGGCUCGCUUAAGGAUUACAUUUGGAUAGAAAGAGGGUGACUGGGGAAAUUGCUGCGGUUCAGCGGUUAGAUGGGCUUCCGGGGCGGCCUCGUGUUCGGUGCGGUUUGGCAGGAACAGGGUGGUGUGGCGUCUGCAGUGGCUAGCCGGCUGGAUUUGCGGCCAGUAGCGAUGGCAAAAGGGGAAAAAGGGGUGUACUCUCGACUGUUGGAGGUGCCUGUGGCCACCCAGACUGAUGGAAAAGGAGGCAACGAAGGUACGGGAUAUGGGGCAUACCAUCUGAAUGACCGCGGGCCAGCUGCUGCCCACCAACCCAAGACCAGCGUCAUUCUACCGUCAGCUCUUCGCUUGGCCUCGACAGCUUCUUCGUUCAUUCCUAAACUAUUCUUUCAUCUCUCUCUAUCUCUCUAUCACAGCCACUCACUGUCUAACCCUAACCUACCAGCUUUUCCAGAACCUAUUCUCCGUUUGCAAUGUAACUCCCACGAGGUAAAAAGGAUCUGUUGGCUGUUAAGGCCAGUCUGGGGACAGACCGGAACUAGCUAGCUUUGACUAGGUUCUAUUGACAGCGAGGUGGUAGUCGCAUGCUGUAGAAUAGUAAAGACCUACUUUUAAAAUGGCCAACAUUCCCUCCAUAUUCUACGCCGUCCGGUCUAUCUUAGUGGCGCCUUUAAAUGGGUUGGAAUUGGGAUUGUACAGAAAUGCAAAAGGAGUAUGAAAGCUACUGCUGUUUAUUGAAUAAUUACGCACGAACAGUCGACAGGCGAAAACAAGAAACAGCGUCGUUGAGGGAAGAGAACACGGCCACGGGGCGGAAGUAAGCUAGCAGCGUACGGCACCAGAAUUUGAGCAUGAAAUUUGAACAUGAGGUAGCGCUAAAAAGGAAACAGCAGUUCUACCACAGCAGCAUGCAUGGUACAAACGUGUUUUUCUUAUAGCGAAACAACAGCUGACUAGUUCGAAACUUCCUCCUUUUACUCAUCAUUGUCAGCGGCCAGUAAGCGAUUUUUCCUAUUACCUAGAUAUAUAUCGAUA
Long non-coding RNA from Varroa destructor (honeybee mite), 3508 nucleotides. RefSeq lists it as uncharacterized. Lineage: Eukaryota; Metazoa; Arthropoda; Arachnida; Mesostigmata; Varroidae. The record is from RefSeq and is a predicted model, not a curated record.